RNAcentral lists this ribosomal RNA (156 nucleotides) under Saccharomyces cerevisiae (brewer's yeast). RNAcentral's name for it is "5.8S ribosomal RNA". It matches the Rfam family "5.8S ribosomal RNA". From Rfam's summary of the family: 5.8S ribosomal RNA (5.8S rRNA) is a component of the large subunit of the eukaryotic ribosome. Lineage: Eukaryota; Fungi; Ascomycota; Saccharomycetes; Saccharomycetales; Saccharomycetaceae. The record is from RNAcentral.
AACUUUCUACAACGGAUCUCUUGGUUCUCGCAUCGAUGAAGAACACAGCGAAAAGCGAUACGUAAUGUGAAUUGCAGAAUUCCCCGAAUCAUCGAAUCUUUGAACACACAUUGCGCCCCCCGGUAUUCCACGGGGGGUGCCUGUUUGAGCGUCAUU